Non-coding RNA from Misgurnus anguillicaudatus (oriental weatherfish), 844 nucleotides. NCBI's taxonomy places the organism in Eukaryota, Metazoa, Chordata, Actinopteri, Cypriniformes, Cobitidae. The record is from RefSeq and is a predicted model, not a curated record.
CACAGAAGUACAGGACUUUUGUUCAGAUAUUUAUUAUGACAUUGAAAUGUCUCCAAAGCAAAAAGAGAUCUUUUCAGAAUACCAAAGUCUCUUGCACAAACCCCAAAAGAGCUUGGUCCGACCAAUCAGCAGCCGGUUUCUACAGAUGCUUGAUGUAUGCAACAGGGUGAAUGAAGUCAUGGAUGCCUUGGUUGUCUAUUACUACCAUCUUAUUCCACCAGAUGAAGAACAUAACUACAGAUGGUUGCUAGCUGAAGUACUGGAGAGAAAUGCAGUGUCAGUUGAGGAAAGGGCAAGAAUAAAAUUUUUGCAACAGCAACAAGCCAAAGCCUACCGAACAGGCAAGCAAAGACAGGAAGUCACGAUUAUUAGUGCUUUUUACAGACCAUGAAAGAUUGAGAGUAGUGAUCGACAUCUUCAGAGGAGUUCUCCCAACAUUCCAAAGUUUCCUCAAAAAACUUCAAUAUGAGAAACCAAUGGUGCACUUACUUCACAGAGAUGGUGGCUUUGGUUAGAGAGCUGCUCAGUAAGUUCGUGAAGCCUGAGUCCAUUGGCCUAAGUGCAAAAGACAUCCUAAAGGUCGAUGUUCAUUGCAUAGACUUGCACUUGUCGGACAAAAGGCUCUCUGUUGGACAAUUCUGCUUCUCUAAACUGAACAAAGCACGAUUAGAGAAAAAGCUAUGGGUUCCAAGUAUCUAUUCUAGUCUGAGAGAAGGAUACAUCAGAGCAGCAGCAUUUCCGCUAAAAACCUUCCACUGAAUAAUAAAAUAAUCACAUCACUGUCAGCACUCAGUCCAGCUUUAUUGCAGGAGGACUCAGUUUGCACUGCAUUUCUUACAUUAGG